This 253-nucleotide ribosomal RNA is filed under the name uncultured bacterium. RNAcentral describes it as "partial 16S ribosomal RNA". It matches the Rfam family "Bacterial small subunit ribosomal RNA", at positions 524 to 776 of the family's 1533-position model. The record is from RNAcentral.
UACGGGGGGGGCAAGCGUUGUUCGGAAUUACUGGGCGUAAAGGGUUCGUAGGUGGCCUGCUAAGUCACACGUGAAAUCCCUCAGCUUAACUGGGGAACUGCGUGUGAUACUGGAUGGCUUGAAUUCGGGAGAGGGAUGCAGAAUUCCAGGUGUAGCGGUGAAAUGCGUAGAUAUCUGGAGGAAUACCGGUGGCGAAGGCGGCAUCCUGGACCGACAUUGACGCUGAGGAGCGAAAGCUAGGGGAGCAAACGGG